GCCUGGGUGGCUCAGUCGGUUGGGCGUCUGACUUCGGCUCAGGUCAUGAUCUCACGGUUCGUGGGUUCGAGCCCCACGUCAGGAU
RNAcentral lists this transfer RNA (85 nucleotides) under Felis catus (domestic cat). It matches the Rfam family "tRNA". Rfam says of the family: Transfer RNA (tRNA) molecules are approximately 80 nucleotides in length. Their secondary structure includes four short double-helical elements and three loops (D, anti-codon, and T loops). Lineage: Eukaryota; Metazoa; Chordata; Mammalia; Carnivora; Felidae. The record is from Rfam by way of RNAcentral.